UACGUAGGGGGCAAGCGUUAUCCGGAUUUACUGGGUGUAAAGGGAGCGUAGACGGCAUGGCAAGCCAGAUGUGAAAGCCCGGGGCUCAACCCCGGGACUGCAUUUGAAACUGUCAGGCUGGAGUGCAGGAGAGGUAAGCGGAAUUCCUAGUGUAGCGGUGAAAUGCGUAGAUAUUAGGAGGAACACCAGUGGCGAAGGCGGCUUACUGGACUGUAACUGACGUUGAGGCUCGAAAGCGUGGGGAGCAAACAGG
RNAcentral lists this ribosomal RNA (253 nucleotides) under uncultured bacterium. RNAcentral's name for it is "partial 16S ribosomal RNA". It matches the Rfam family "Bacterial small subunit ribosomal RNA", at positions 524 to 776 of the family's 1533-position model. The record is from RNAcentral.